Molecule: long non-coding RNA, 232 nt
Organism: Carcharodon carcharias (great white shark)
Lineage: Eukaryota; Metazoa; Chordata; Chondrichthyes; Lamniformes; Lamnidae
Exons: 3
Source: RefSeq, a predicted model, not a curated record
GCACAGGAUUGUACUCUUUUGAAUACAGAAGAGGAAAGAAAAGUGAUCUAAUCGAGCCCCUCAGAAGAGUCGUAAACCACGAGGGAAGCUGAGUCCGGAGUCAGGAACGUUUUGACAGGUCUAACUAUCAUCACAGUUCAAAGAAGCAUCUUCCCAGGCCCAGCAGGAAUGGACAGCAUUCACGACCUUUUCAGCUGAGGAUAUUGGCAGGAAGAAAAGCUGGGCUCAACAG